This 87-nucleotide transfer RNA is filed under the name Pyrenochaeta sp. DS3sAY3a. It matches the Rfam family "tRNA". Rfam says of the family: Transfer RNA (tRNA) molecules are approximately 80 nucleotides in length. Their secondary structure includes four short double-helical elements and three loops (D, anti-codon, and T loops). Lineage: Eukaryota; Fungi; Ascomycota; Dothideomycetes; Pleosporales; Cucurbitariaceae. The record is from Rfam by way of RNAcentral.
GGUCGAUUAGCUCAGUUGGUUAGAGCGUGGUGCUAAUAGCUUCAGCUAGCAACGCCAAGGUCGCGGGUUCGACCCCCGUAUUGACCA